This 419-nucleotide ribosomal RNA is filed under the name bacterium. RNAcentral's name for it is "partial 16S ribosomal RNA". It matches the Rfam family "Bacterial small subunit ribosomal RNA", at positions 355 to 776 of the family's 1533-position model. The record is from RNAcentral.
UGGGGGAUAUUGCACAAUGGGCGAAAGCCUGAUGCAGCGACGCCGCGUGGGGGAUGAAGGCCUUCGGGUUGUAAACUUCUUUUGCUCUGAACAAGGCGCACCAUGGGGUGUGUUGAGUGUAGGGGUUGAUUAGCGCCGGCUAACUACGUGCCAGCAGCCGCGGUAAUACGUAGGGCGCGAGCGUUGUCCGGAAUUAUUGGGCGUAAAGGGCUUGUAGGUGGCUGGUUGCGUCUGUCGUGAAAGCUCAUGGCUUAACUGUGGGUUUGCGGUGGGUACGGGCUGGCUUGAGUGCAGUAGGGGAGGCUGGAAUUCCUGGUGUAGCGGUGGAAUGCGCAGAUAUCAGGAGGAAUAUCGGUGGCGAAGGCGGGUCUCUGGGCUGUUACUGACACUGAGGAGCGAAAGCAUGGGGAGCGAACAGG